AACAGGGUGCCUCCUGGUCCCAGCUUUCUAGAUGUAAGAGGUUUGUGUGUUCUGUAUGCCGCUCCCUCCCUCUUCCAGGAUCUCCUGUUGCCCUGCAGUGCUGGUCGCAGCAGAGUGGCGCCCCUCGUGGGGCUGGAAGAGGAGGUCGGCCACGAGCAGAGAAAAAAGGAAGGUCUGCCACGAGCAGGAAAAGGUGAAACUACAGACGGCGGAGACGCUAGCCUUGCACUCAGCAGAGUCGUGACCAUGAGUGGGCAAGUAGGAACUUGAAACCAGGAUAACAAUGGGGCAGAAUCAAUUUCAGGAAACUAAACAUUACAUUCAAUUGCUUAAGUGUAUGUUGAGACAGUCAGAGGCUCGGGUAACAGGGUCUAAGAUAGAGGAAUUGUUGGAAGCUGUGAUCAAAUAUAACCCUAGGUUUCCAGGAGAGUGUAUUAUGGACCCAGGAUCGUGGGAUCUCAUGGGAGAAAAUUUAAAGCAUGCCCAGCAAUCUGGCCUCUCUGUUUGUUUUUUCUACAUGGGGACCUAUCAUUCCAGCUUUACGUAUAUACGUAGGGGAGCAGUACGACGUGUUUUGGAAUACUUGCGGGAGCAUAAAGAAAAACCUAGGCCUUCUGCUCCCCCUCAGCCUGAUCCCUUUCUUGAUGAGAAUUUGAAUAAGCCUUUAGCUGUGGAGGCAACACUAACUCCCCUUCAAUCAGCCCUAAAAUCUACUAGCCCCGAGGAAGGGACCUUUUUAGCAUCCCUGUAACAACUGCCCCCAUCCUCAGGUCCCACAAUGUCUUUUCUAACAAAGGAAAUCUUGGUGACUCCAUUUUGCUCUGGUUUCAGCUGAAAAGCCCACCUGCGACCCCCUCCUCCUUCCCUCUUCUCCCAGGAACAAUGUUUCAAAUUCGCCAACCGAGAAGAACAUGGGCCCUGACCUGACCCAUGGGAAGGGGGCAGGUCCAUCACCUGCAUUAGGCAUAAAUAGGGAGGGUCUUUUCUGCUUUGCGUGGGCGCUGUGAGUAAAGAGCCCUUCCGCAGAAGUAAAGAGCCUUGGCGAGGUCUACCCCGUGUUUAUGUGUCCGGUUUUCCAACACUGGCGUCCCGAGCCAUUCUCCCACACCAGGGCAAAAUAUCCACAUGCAUAACCCUUUUGACUUUAAAGCUCUUAAAGCUCUACGGGAGGGUGGAAUACAGAAUGGAGUUACAGCUCCUUUUACUAUGAGUAUGGCAGAAAGCACGGGGACACUUCAGCUUCCCCCAUGGGAUUGGCACAGGAUCGACAAAGCCACCCUAACGGUGGAGACUAUUUAAUUUGGAAGUCUAGUCUUUCAGGUUUUUUGGUCAGGAACAGGCUCGCUUAAAUCAAAGAAAUAAUGUCCCAGUUACUUUUGAAAUGUUGCUUGGGACCGGCCCUUUUCUUGACUUAGCAAGCCAACUGACUGACGAUCCUCGGGCCCAUGAGCCGCUGAGCCUGGCCACCCAAAGUGUGGGUGACAAGUCCUGGGAGAGGAAACCCACAAGGACCUUCUGCGCAAGGUCCUCAAGGCCCUACAGAGCCUUGCCCACAGUUUGUGCACCUAACUCGAGCCGUACGUCGCCAAGUAGCACAUUCUCAGGUGGCUGGUAUUUUAAUUAAACAACUGGCAUAUGAAAAUGCAAAUAAAGCCUGUAAAAGGGCAGUGGUCCCUGUAAGGAAUUCAGGAGGCAUCUCUGCGUUUAUUAAGGGGUGUCAAGAUGUAGGAAGUAGAGGGUUAUGCUCAAGCAGAGCUUGCUGCAGCAUGGAAAGGAACCCUUAGCUCUGGAAAGAUGUUUUAAUUGUGGAGAAGCAGGACAUUUUCAGAAAGCAUGCUGAGCUCGAUUAAAAGGGAAACCAUCCCUAGCCGCAGGAUCACCCCCAGGACCUGGUCAUAACCCUGGUUAAUGUCCGCAUUGUCAGAGAGGAAAUCUUUGGGCUAAUCAAUGUCGGUUUAGUUUCACCAAAACGGCUCUCUUAACAACUCCGGUGUCAGGAAAUGGGACACCAUCAACCAAUGAGGGCAUGUGUGGCUCAAACCGAAAACGAAUCCAAGCCCUUACAAGGGCCACUCCCAGUGGCGCAGGGUUGGACUUGCCCUGCCCCACAGCAGCAGUUUUAACACGUGAACGGGGCGUAGGGCUUUCCUUCCUGGAAUAUUUGGCUCUCUUCCUCCUGUUAGGCCUUAAUGAGAAGGGAGAAGGGGCUUAACCAGGAAAGGCUGACACUGUUGCCUGGGGUGGUGGAUGCGGACUCUCAGGGAGAAGUUAAGGUGAUGGGGAGGUCAGAGGCCAUUCGUCCUCUACAGCCGGGAAUGAGAAUUGCUCAGUUGUUCCUGCUGCCGCAUCUUAAGAAUUGCUGUUUCCUGUACUGCCGAAUUUGUAACUGAGUCUCUGAUAAAAUGAUAGUUCCGGAUGAGGUCAGUGGUCUCCAGACCAUGGGAAAAUGCAGCAAGCGGGAAUAUUUUCCUGGACCAUUAGAGACUAGAAAGAUAGGUGGUCCAGAGACUUUUGGCUCCUGUAAACAAGGCCUAGUCCAGUAAUAGCACAUGGAGUUGCCUAUUAGUAAAAUCUUUACUAGAUCUGGGAAUAGUCAUUCCUACCAUUGUGAGACGAAAUGGCCCUGAAAUGCCUCUCAGACUAUAGUUGAGUUUAGGACCAUGGGGAAACACUGCGAACCGAAGUUUGGUCCUUGCUGACAUCAGCCUCUACAUGGAGUAAAACAUAAGCCACUGCAGCUGCCGACCCUCAGCGCCCCCUGAUCAGAGCUCAGCAUGGAGACCGGGAGAGAGGCGCUCUGUGCUCUGGGAAAACUGACAGAACAGGCCUUCAGAGAGUUAGAUUUAAGGAGAGGACCACCGCCCCAUCCCAUGUAACGAGAGGCUGGAAUCAAAGAUUCCCCGGAGGACGGAGACAGACCCCCCGCCUCCCACACAUGACUGUUCAACCUGGAGACCUGCUGCAGACGUGGCUGUAGAAUUGGAUUGACCCAUAGAAACCAGGUGAACGCUCUGCAACCAAAAUGUCCUGGGACUGUUCUUAUGCAGCCAAUACAAAGGGGAGAUGGUGGCGACCACUGCAACUGCUGACUUUGCAGUAAACAAACUCAGCGCACGUGCAAAACACCACCUCUAAGAUAGUUAUCACCUGAACCUGAUUUUGCUCAUGAACUUACGUCACCUUCCCUAAUAAAAGCCGUGAGGAUUAAAGCCUAGGCGCCUUCGCGGAACAGAGCACCUCCUGGUCUCCGGCUUUCUAGAUGUAAGAGAGGCUUGUGUGUUUUGGUAUGAUUCUCCCGCCCUCUUUCAGGAUCUCCUGUUGCCCUUCAGUGCUGGUUGCAACAAUGAUAAGUCUUGUGGCUUCUGCCUGGGUCCCGGGACACUCGUUCUUGGAGCUCUUGAGCAACCCAUUAAAAAAGUCUGUCUUGAGGCCACAAUGCUGUAAAGACACUGAAGCCAGCUCAUACUCUCAGCAUCCAGCUAUCCAGGUCCUACCUGCUGAGGCCUCAGAUACCCAGAGGAGAAAUGAACCCGCCCCACUAUUCAGUGUCUGAAUUCCAACCUGUGGAUUCAUGAGCCAAACAAAAGCUUGUCAUUUUGAGGAGCUGCACAGCGCUGAUAACUGGACCAGAACUUGUUGCUGGGCGCAAAAGAGUCUCCAGAUUCUCAGCAAAAGAAAUGGCUUCAGAGCAAAUGAACUCUUGAUUAUGGAUUUGGAUGGAAUUCACAACUAUUGUGAACCAGUGACUAUUGUCUUCAGAUUGAUAGGAGCUGUAUUUCAGGAACUGCAUCCAGGCGCUUCAUUCUGAUCUACAUGACAGAUGUUGGACUUCAGCCUCUCCAGAUGGUAAAUGACACUCAAAUUAAGAAAUGGCUUCUAGGAAAAUCAAUGGUGCUGCAGAAAAAUGUGGUCUAAAUAUGAAGCCAAGGACAUGACUGGAAAUUCAUUUGCUGAGACCUCCGAGGAACAAGAUGGUGUUUUAUGGACCUUUUCAAAUAGAUAAGAAAAUCUUUCUAAAGAUCUUGAAGUCCAUAGGCUCUUCAGAACUCAAGUUGCGGACCUCAAGCCUCAUCCACACUUGGACCCGAGUGACAUGAUGCGAUCUUGAACUGAGAGAAGUUGAGCACCAGUCCUUACAUUCUGCCAUCUUGAGAUCUUUCAUAAUCAAGAAUUUCUGAAGAGUUUAUCUAUCUUGAUUUCAUGCCCAAUGCAAGAAUCUGCUAUAAAAUAUGAAUGAAUUUCAUGAUCCAGUCUCUGCCUAAAACCUUCAGAGAAAGAUAUGUUGAUCAGAUUUUAUCGUUUUGGGCAAAGAACCAACACCAAAAGGAACCUCAGUUUACUCAUCUGCUGGAAGGCAGCUGCUCCAAGGACGCCCAUCAUUGCCAAGUGCCAACACCAAGCACCUCCGCCUCCACUAGUGGCCUGGGUCCCUUGCAGGAGCCUCUGAGGGACCUGAAGCUGCCAAGCUCAUCAACCCCAGCACUGCUGCUGCUGCCACCGCCAACGCUGCCAUUAGGCCAUGUGCCACCCCACCCUCCAGCUGGCCCUGCCCUGUUCACCUGGCACACUCCACUGCAUGCUGUCCUGAGGAGGUAUUCUUGAUAAAUGAAAAUGGUCUGUCACGAUGGAGGUGUGAGGUUCCAACGGUGCCUCCAUUUGUCAAAACUGUGCAGCUAACACUCAUGCCUUUCACUGUACAUACACUUAAACUAAUACAUAUAAAGAAUAAAAAUUGAGUAGGUGGGAAGUGUGUAUGAACAUAUAACUAUUCUAAGAAAAAAUGUUGCUAACUAUUAAAUCUGGGUGAGCAGUACAUAAAGUUCAUUUAUUGUUUACUUUGUCUAGUAAAUUUUAAAUUUCCCAUAAUACAUUUAAAAAGAGGAAGAAAGUUUUUCUUAAAAAAUGGGAUUUAACUGUAAAAUGAGUAUGUUUCUUGUAUGGCUGCUAGAGAGACUCUGGAAAUCAAAAAUAUGUUUCUAAAAUGUUUUGAACAAGGUAGUACAAUUUAAAUGGAUGAAUAGCAUAACAUGUUUUAAGACCUACCAAAGCAUAACACUCACUGUAAUGUGUAAAUAUGUCCAAAAUCAGUUUUAUUAUUUUAUGUGGUGCAACAUGUUACUUAAAUUAGCUCAUAACAUUUUUAUUUUAGUAGUGACUGUCCAUCAACCUAACCUUUAUAGGACAUUAUUAGUAGAAACUAGUUCCUAAUAAUGAUUUAACUGGCAGAGGGACAACAGGAACUUAAGCACAACAUUAAUUGUGGUGGCUCUUAGAUUCUAAAGUGAACUUUUUAAUUGUCAUUUAUUUGAAACCUCUUCUAAUUAUAGUAGUCCUUUUUAAUGAGUAAUUGGAGUGUUGGAUAGCUACUAUGCCAUCUUCCCAUUGGGUUUAGCAUUGCCUAAAUGAUUUUUUAAUGUUUACCCAUGUAACAUAUUGGUGAUACAAUAUACUAUUGGUGUAUAAAAAAACCUCAUUUAUCCAGAUUUCAAAUAAUUUGAAAUGUGAUGAACCACAAAUUUAUUUCUUUAGCUCAAGAGUUUUCUUCCAAUCUUUGAGCUUCAGACCUGCAUCUGCAACAACCUUUGGGAAAUCUCUGGGAUGUCUCCCCACAGGCAUCUGAAACUUACCCUUCUUUCAGAGGGGCUCACCCUGUCUUCCCCCCCGCCCCAGGAGAGAGCAACAUUCUCUAGCCCCCUGUUCAAAGCAGAAAUGAAGCAUCUUCCCAGACUUCUCGCUCUCUAAUCCUCCACAUCUAGUCACUCACCAAGUCCUGCUGUGUCUUGAGUAUUUCCUCUUUCCUUUUUUCCUGCUAUUUUCUCAGUUCAAACCCUCAAUAUUUCUUAGAUAACUGCAGUGACCUACUUCCAGGAGGCUGUGUUUCCAGUUUUUCCCUUCAUUCAAAUGUGUCCUCCAAAAUUGUUGAGAGAAUAGUCUUAAGAAAACGAAAAGCUCGUCGUGUUACUCUCUAGUUUAACUUAUUUAGGGCUUCUCCACUGCUAACUGAUGGAUAAAACUCUUAGCAAGGCAGACACAGCCCCUCAUGAUCCAGUCCUUGCCUGGACUCCAGCAUUACCUUUCAUCUUCCUGUUUACAUGCUAUGCUCCAGCCACGGUCCAUGACAUAUGGUACUCAUAAAGAAGCAUGCCACCUGUGUCUUCAUGAGUGUGUUCACUGUGCUACAUCUUCAUCCCAAUUUCCUAGGAAAAAAUGUAUUUGUCUUUCUAGAUUGUACUCAGGUAUUAGGCCCUUGUUAAAUGCCCCUUUCCCCAGUCCCAAGGAAGAACCAACCAUUAUAGCAUCUGCUGGCCUGGGCACCAUUUAUAGACGUCUAUCAUUACACUUCAACAUUUUUUGCCUUGUUGGGUUUCCAGGCCCAUUUCCCUCAUGCUUCAUUUUGGAAAGAAACUAUAUUUAUAUGCCUAAGAUGAGAACAGUCCCUAACACAUGCAGGCACUUCAUCAUUACUUGUUAAAUAAAGCCCAAGUAAAAAUGGUGUUCUUUGAUAUUCUUUUAUCUAAUUAAAAAAAAACUGAAAUCAUAAAAUCUAUAGUAUAGAUUCAGAUUAUAAGCGGUUACAGUUCUUUGACAAAUAGGAAAACUUUACACAUUCAAUCUCUCUCCCUCUCAUGUACACGUAGUCUGAAGUCUUAUCACUUGUAAAGCUGGUAUUCAUCAUAUUCUAGGGUACUGUUUCUGAUUUAUUAAAAAAUAUCUCCACUGAAGUUUAACAUUUUUCACUGCUUUCAAAUUUUCUGAAUAUCUAUAGGCAUGUGUGGUAUGUAAUAUAUGGCAACUUCCCAGUUAACAAAAUGUGAAACUAAUUUGGGUGAACAUCUGUAUUGCAUAGUUUAAGAAUAACUGAGGCAAAAUACUGCCUGGUGGUUAAAAAUAAUCCUCAAAAUUUUUUUGUUUACAUAAAACUUUUCCUUAAAAAGUCUAUAAAUUUGAAAUGAAUUUUCACUUUGCAAUUCAAAAAUAAAAGAUGAGUGGUAUAAAAUGUAGGGUCAUAAAGUUAAGCCCUUAUCAUGUUUUGACUCUUGAUCGAUAAGUGGGUAGAGGCUUAGAUUUCACAGAUUGAGGAGGUAAAGAUAGUUCAAAAAGAUCCAGAGGUUGAAAAACUGGAAAAUAGGAGUUAAUGGAAGGUAUUAGUAUUAUUGAGAAUAAAGAUGGUUGAUUUAAUAAAGUGUAUGAAGUUAC
Sus scrofa (pig) is the source of this 7197-nucleotide non-coding RNA. NCBI's taxonomy places the organism in Eukaryota, Metazoa, Chordata, Mammalia, Artiodactyla, Suidae. The record is from RefSeq and is a predicted model, not a curated record.